AUUGAACGCUGGCGGCAGGCCUAACACAUGCAAGUCGAACGGCAGCACAGAAGAGCUUGCUCUUUGGGUGGCGAGUGGCGGACGGGUGAGUAAUGUCCGGGAAACUGCCCGAUGGAGGGGGAUAACUACUGGAAACGGUAGCUAAUACCGCAUCAUGUCGCGAGACCAAAGUGGGGGACCUUCGGGCCUCACACCAUCUGAUCUGCCCAGAUGGGAUUAGCUAGUAGGUGGGGUAAUGGCUCACCUAGGCGCCGGUCCCUAGCUGGUCUGAGAGGCUGACCAGCCACACUGGAACUGAGACACGGUCCAGACUCCUACGGGAGGCAGCAGUGGGGAAUAUUGCACAAUGGGCGCAAGCCUGAUGCAGCCAUGCCGCGUGUAUGAAGAAGGCCUUCGGGUUGUAAAGUACUUUCAGCGGGGAGGAAGGCGGUGAGGUUAAUAACCUCGCCGAUUGACGUUCCCCGCAGAAGAAGCACCGGCUAACUCCGUGCCAGCAGCCGCAGUAA
This 506-nucleotide ribosomal RNA is filed under the name uncultured bacterium. RNAcentral describes it as "partial 16S ribosomal RNA". It matches the Rfam family "Bacterial small subunit ribosomal RNA", at positions 30 to 523 of the family's 1533-position model. The record is from RNAcentral.